RNAcentral lists this long non-coding RNA (1262 nucleotides) under Homo sapiens (human). RNAcentral describes it as "HSALNT0327160". Lineage: Eukaryota; Metazoa; Chordata; Mammalia; Primates; Hominidae. The record is from RNAcentral.
GCUCCCACGGUGCAGCUGCGGGCUGAAGGGCUCCUCAAGCGCGGCCAGAGUGGGCUGAGGCCGAGGAGGCGCCGAGAGCCAGCGAGGGAUGCCAGCAAGCUGUCACCUCUCAGAAAUACAGGAAGAACAUCAAUAAUGUUCGAAGUUAUAAAGUAGUAGGUUUCUAUCAAGAGUAAAACAUAAACGAAGUUAUAAAGUAGUAGGUUUCUAUCAAGAAUAAAACAUAAACGAUCAAAGAAUUCCUUAUAAAAACAUUUUUUAUUUCUAGGAAUCAAAACAUAAAUAUAAAAUUUGAGAGUCCACCAAAAAAAAUUAGAUGCCAGAUUUCACUAUAAUUAUCAGGGAAGCGCCCAAAUGGGUUGUUUACGGCGCCUCGGGGAAACUUUCUGUUUCGUGUUAAGGGUCUUGAACCAUGAUGUUUAGAAAACCAUGGGCUGAUGCUUUCAGAACCUCUGUGAUUUUUGCCUCUGACACUGCAUCCAAUAGACUAGCAUGUUGAUUAGGGAAAGCUAAAUUCAAUAAAAGACGACUGUAAGUGGGGUCACCACCUUGAGGGGUCAUGUUAGAAAAGUAGAUGAUAAGGUGGUAUUGAUAGAGUAUUGAAGUCUGGGCUCAGAUGGUUGCCCGGGGCCUUUCAAGACCAAUGACUGAUAAGAAUAGGUAAUGUUCAGGACAUAGAGUUUAGGAUUGGGGGACACUGUGAGUUAAGGGCCAUGACAGAAGUCUUCAUAAGUAAACUGUUAAUUGACACAAGCUGCUACCUGCCCAGGUGAGCAAUCUGUUGGCCCAGAGGAGAGUUGCUUACUGACAUAAAUUGAUUUGCAGAAAUUUCCUGAAGCAAACAAUAAGUUAUUUAUUGGUUUGCAGCCUUACUUUCCUGAAAAAUAAUUUUCUGGAAUGAAUUGUGAAAUCAUGUUGACACAGAUGGCCUCAGGUUUCAGUUCGGAUAAUUAAGCUGUGUAAAUAUAGAAAGUCGAAGGUUUCUGGGUGCUGUUGAUUCACAGUAUGCAACAAUGAUCAUAUUACUUUUAUUUACUAUGAGCUUCAGCUGAAAAUCCAAAAGAAACUUUAAUUUCAGAUAUUUAAUGAAAUCAUUAUAGCUGUGGUAAUUUCCUUUAGCUGGGUGUGAGUGUGUGAUGUGAGCGUGUGAUGUGUGUGUGUGUGUGUGUGUGUGUGUGUACUCUGGCAGCAUAUUCCAAAUAAUUUCUGUUAAAUUCACAAUUGCAUAAUUUUUUUCAGGCUGGAAUGCACUUGGAUGCCAG